UGAAUUCCCACUAGAGGGCAGUGUUGUUUUAGUUUUUUGUCAGGCCUUAUUAAGGACAGCUAAGCAAGUUGUGGGUCCUUUGUUAGACAUCUUGUGCAUGGGCAUUUAUUCCACCCGGGGCAGGCAACAGAGAACUGUGUAUGCGUGUUUGAGCCACAGUAAGUCACCUAAACAUGACGUUCUGUUUUCAAUGUAUCCUUUAUUGUUAUUGUAGUCGCCACGCCUGUUAAAGUAGAUUAUAGAAUGCCAUUUAAUAUAAAUGUUUAGAUGUUGGGUGCAGUGUUUCUGCUAAGCUAAGCUAUUAAUGUUAAUACUGCUAAGCUAAAGUAUUACCAGAAUGGAGCUAACUUGUUUGAAGGUGUCUUUAUGUCGUUAAGAGAGGAAUGCUAACACAUUUACAUAGCUAAACAUAUUUUAUUUUCUGUCAUUUCAGGACCAUACACCGUUCACAUACAUACAAACAUACAUCCAUCUGUGGGUGAACUAGAGAUAUCUGUUAGCCCUGUUGCCUGCUUCCGCCACCGUGUAAUAGUUCAAGUCCGGCAUAAUUAAAGCCAAGUGGACUCAUAAACUCUGCCUGUUCAUUGCUCUCUUACCGGAGCCCACUGCUGAUGAAGGGCUGGCGCCAUCUUCACCACAUUACAGUCCCAAACGUAACAUUGGUCCUUCGAGCCGGAUCCUUUCACCUGCAGUGCCGUUGCCAUGGCAGAGCAUAAUAUAUUGCCUCAGAGUACACGGAGAGCUCCACGGACCAGACAUCCUCCUGCACAUCUUCACGAUUUAAUGGUGAAUCUGCCACCAUCCUUGUCCCAGAGUCGACAUCUGAGUGCCAGCACACCAGAGCUGCGGUCACACAGCACAGCACCAGCACACUGUUCAGUGAGUGACCAGCUAUCUACAGUGCUCGGGCAUCAGAUGAGACUUGACCAGGGAUCGAGGGAUGAUGUAGAUGCAGCGGAGCAGUCCACUUCAGCGAGUUCUCUGAGCAGCAGUAUGAUUGCAGUCGAAUUUGGCAUGGGGGAACAGCAGUGGAAGGGGAACGUGAAUCAACCCAGUAGCCACAUGCUUCCUUCUGGCUCCUCCAGAUACAGUACACUUCCUCAAAGUGCAACUUCAUCUGUUAAUAAACUGAUACCCCCUCCAGUGGAUCAUACCAGUUGGAGUAGGAUGGCGGUUGCACCUCCAUUACUGUCAACAGCUCCACCAGUAUUCACUGUGGCUCAGUCGGGUAUUUCCACAGCUCCGAUGAGCUAUAUGACAUACAACAGUCUACCUCCAGUGGGGAAUCCAGCAUCAGCGCUCCCGACAGGCAGCCCCCGACAGGCUCCACCAUUAAUGUCAAGUUGGGCCCAACCCAUGCCACAGCAGGCUACAGUGACCAUCCAGUCACUGCAUCCAGCUUCAGCUAUACCACCAUUGUACUCCGUCCCACCUGUCUCCACUUCAGCAGUUCCACCACAGCCGGUUCAGCCGACGAUGACUGGAAGCCCAUUAUAUCCACCUGGACUGAUGGCAGCGGCACAGCCUGGACCCGGUCCCACAUUGUAUGCCCCAUAUACAGUGGACAGAGCUCCCCCACGAGUAGGCCAGUAUGUGAAUCAGCAUCCAUCUACCUGGCCUCAUCUUUCAUACACCUCAGCCCAAAAUGUAGCGCUAACAGAAGCACCGUCAUAUCUAUUUCCUCCAUUUGGCACAGUUUCUGGGCAGCCUCCAUUUCAACCACAAUAUGUGCCACAUGUUCAAGCUCCAUCUCAGCCGACUCCAGUCAUAGCACCAGGCGGUCCACAGCCAGUGUUUCCGUCAUAUGCCCCAGCACCAGUUACACCGGCUCAGCCUGUGCCAGUUCCUGCCCUACCAAAAUUAAUCAAUGACAGUGAAAGAGAGUUCACAGAUUUAAAGAUGGCCUUGGAUCAUCUCCUUAACUCACAUGCAGAGUUGUCUGAACACUACAAGUACAGAGUUCUCAUGGAGCAGCUGGUAUUGGAGGAAGCCCGGCUCAUCACACAAGCAUGUCGCCAUCACGCUCAUCCUUACACCGCUGCCAUGCAGGCUCUACAACGGCAGUAUGGACAACCUCAUCAACUUGCACAAGGUGAGAUAGCCGCUAUUUUGAACUCUCCAGAUGUGAAGGCUGGAGAUUACAAAGCUUUCCAGACCUUUGCCCUUCGGGUCGACCUGCUGGUGGGGAUGCUCGCUUCACUAGAGGGCCCGUAUGGUAUGGAGCUGAUGUCUACAGGUCAUGUAGAUCGACUUCUGAGUAAGCUUCCACGAUACCUGAGGGACAGCUUCGUUGAACAUUUGCAAGUCCGAGGACGUAUGCAGACCCAGAGCCUCAAUCCUUACAAUCUGCGAGACCUUUCAGAGUGGUUGAAAGGAAAGGCAGAGGCACAGAGAUUAUCAACCAGGAUGUGUCAACGUAAUCCGACCGAGAAAUCUGCGAUGGUGAAGAGGGAUAAACCUGUCAUUGUGACAAGACCUAAGACUCAGCCAGUGACUAUUUAUCAUGGCAGCAACACAGAGCAGACUCAAACAGCCCAACCAGCAUCAUCCAUGCCCCCGAGCUUAAAGGAAAGGAAACCCAAAGCCAAGGUAUGCCUUUUCUGUAAGAGCAAUGAGCACUAUCUUUCCCAGUGUCCAGUAAUCAAGACGAAGACAGCAGAUCAGAUCCAAACAUGGAUUGAGCAGGGACAAAGAUGUCAUAAGUGUGGGCGGACCAACCAUGAGCCCGAGGCCUGCACACUUAAGAAACCAUGUGAUGCAUGUCAGGAGGUUCACCUUCAGGUUUUACACCCCAUUGCCAAACCUAGCUCCGGGGUAUAUCUCAUAACACCCCAGGGGGGAAUGACCUCAAUCACAGCCAAGCAGGUUACUGGUGUUUACCUCAAAGUCGUGCCAGUCAUUGUGAGUAAUGGGCAAAAGUCACUGCACACCUACGCAGUAUUAGACGACGGCGCCGAGCGCACCAUUAUUCUCACAGAGGCUACACAUCAGCUUGGGUUGGCGGGAGAAACGGAGUCCAUGGCAUUGAGGACAAUAAGACAAGAUGUUGUCCACAUUAAAGGGUCGUCGGUUAGUUUCCACAUUGCAUCCCCAGCUCUGCCACUUAAGAGUCAUCUCAUCACAGGUGCGUUUUCGGCAAACCGCCUGGCUCUUGCUGAGCAGUCUUACCCCAUUCAAGCCUUACAGACGAGAUAUCCCCAUUUGAGAGGGCUCCCUAUCCAGCCAUUCAGUAAUGCACAACCACUCCUCCUCAUCGGUGCAGACAACACUCACCUGAUCAUCGCAAAGGAACCAGUACGUCUCGGCAAGGGAGGAGGACCAGUGGCGGUUUGCACAGAGCUUGGCUGGACGCUGCAGGGACCAGAUAAGACAGUGACACAUCAAGCAACAACCAACUGUUACUUUACCAGUUGUAAACCAUCUCCUGAUGAGCUUCUCCAUCAUGUUGCUCGCUUAUGGCAGCUUGACGUUUUGCCAUUUAGAAGCGAAAAGAUAGUGACACGCUCACGGCAAGAUCAAGAGGCCAUCCAACUGUUGGAGGAGCGUACCAUGCGCAUCAGGGAUGGAGGCAUCAUGAGAUAUGCGACACCACUACUACGAGUGAAGAACGCUGUCCCGCUUACCGCUCCCAUCGACGCAGUGAUGCCCACUUUACGCCAAACUGAGAGGAGUCUGCUUAACAACCCUACUAAAGCUGACAUUUACGAGGCUGAGAUAAGAAAACUCCUUGAGGCAGGGCAUGUCCAGCGGCUCAUCGAAGAGGAGACAACUAAGAUCCCGGAGUCCUGGUUCAUCCCUCACCAUCUCGUAGAGCACAAUGGGAAACACAGGCUGGUGUUUAACUGCUCCUUCUCAUACCAGGGUCUCUCACUGAACGACCAGCUUGCUCCGGGUCUGACACUGGGUCCAUCACUGCUGGGCGUACUGCUGAGGUUUCGGCAACAUGAAGUGGCAGUAAGCGGAGACAUUAAAGCCAUGUUCCACCAGGUGCGGCUUUUACCUGAGGACCAACCCCUGCUACGCUUCAUUUGGAGGAACAUGCGCAGAACCGAUCCACCGGAUGUCUACCAGUGGAAGGUUCUUCCAUUUGGCACCACGAGCAGCCCUUGUUGUGCUACAUUUGCUCUCCACAAGCAUGUGAAGGACAACUCGGCUGGUCAUGAAGACAUCGUACAGACACUGGUGGAGUCAUUCUACGUAGACAACUGCCUACGGAGCUUCCCUGAUGCUACAUCAGCCAAAGCUCUCGUGGACCGCAUGAGAUGUCUACUUGCCUCCGGUGGGUUCGAAAUUCGUCAGUGGGCGAGUAACAAUCCCAGCGUGGUCUCACAUCUCCCAGCUGAAGCCAAAUCUCAAGCCACAGAACUCUGGCUUCUUGAGAAACAUGUGGACCCACAAGAGCCUGCAUUGGGGCUGAGUUGGCACUGCAGUUCCGAUCUGCUGGGUUUCAGGAUCAGACCACUGGAACCUGCCGCACCCACCAUGCGGCAUAUGUACCGUGUGCUGGCCACCCAGUACGAUCCACUCGGUUUCAUGCUUCCCUACACUACCCUGGCCAAAGUGCUGAUCAGGAAGUUGUGGUCCAAACAGAGAGAUUGGGAUGAUCCCAAUUUGCCACCUGAUAUCGUAGCAGCAUGGAUUGACUGGGAGAAAGAGUUACCAGAAAUGGCAACCAUGUUUUUCUCACGAAGAUAUACACCACCAGAGUUCCCCAUUGGAGACGCAACGUACAAUCUGCAUGUGUUCUGCGAUGCAUCAGAGCAAGCUUAUGGUGCGGUAUCGUAUCUGGUAGUGGAAAGUAUGAAGCAGGUUCAUGUAACCUUUGUGAUGGCUCGCUCCCGAGUUGCACCUAAGCGUCAGCUGUCCAUGCCACGACUUGAGCUCUGCGCAGCACUGGCAGGGGCCCAGUUAGCUUCCCUCUUGCAGAAAGAGCUCACCUUGCCCCUCAAGACCAUUAACCUCUGGACGGACUCAACCACCGUUUUGUCUUGGCUGACAUCGGACUCCUGUCGGUUUAAAGUCUUUGUGGGUACGAGAGUCGCUGAGAUCCAGGAGUUGGCAGAACCCAGCGCAUGGAGGUAUGUUGAUUCUGCCAAUAACCCGGCAGAUGACGUCACACGGGGUCAAACCCUAGCUCAACUUAAAGGCCCCAAUCGCUGGAUACAAGGACCACCUUUCCUUUCUGGGCCGUCACGUCAAUGGCCGAGCCAGCCAAGCUCUCAAGUAUCACCGGACACUGACGAGCUCAAGAAGAACAGUUUCUGUGGUUUAACACAGCAUAAUGCAUCCAGUCAACUACUGGACAUCACACAGUUCGUCGACUGGUCUUCUCUGGUGAAAGCCAUGCAUCAGGCUUUAACUAGCAAGGCAGGCUCUGAUGACCAGGCACGAACAUGCGACCUGAGAGAUGCUGAGUUAUAUCUCUUGCAGACCUGUCAAGCCGACAGUUUUCCCGAGGAAGUGCAAGCACUCAAGGUUGGCAAGCCUGUAUCGCCUCACAGCCGACUGAGAAUGCUUGUCCCAGAGAUGGACGCAGGAACAGGUCUCAUGAGAGUUGGAGGGCGUUUAAGGCACAUCAGUCACCUGUCAGAGGAGGAUAUUCAUCCCAUCAUUCUUGACAACAAACAACAUGUCACCCACCUCCUCAUCAAAGCCUAUGAUGCAAAGCUGCUUCACCCUGGUCCCGAGAGGGUAUUUGCCGAAUUAAGGAGGCAGUACUGGAUUCUGCGUGGGCGUCAAGUAAUUAAGCGACAUCAGAGGACGUGUGUUGAUUGUCAGAGAUGGAGAGGCAAACCAUCGGUGCCACGAAUGGCAGACCUGCCACCGGCACGUCUUCGUCUGUUCCAACCCCCUUUCUUCUCUACGGGCGUGGAUUGCUUCGGACCUUACAUGGUGAGGGUUGGGCGACGCCACGAGAAACGUUGGGGGCUGAUUUUUAAAUGCUUGACAACCCGAUGUGUCCAUCUAGACCUCAUCAACAGUCUCGAUGCUGAUGCCUUCUUGCUGGCUCUCUGGCGUUUCAUCGCCCGACGGGGAACCCCCUCCGAGAUCUUGCCAGACCAAGGGACAAAUUUCCGUGGUGCCGAGCGAGAGCUGACGGAGGCCCUUGCUGCCAUGGAGCCUCAGUUACAGGAGGGUUUGUCAAACCAUCAAAUCACCUUCAAGUUCAACCCACCUGGUGCACCACACUUCGGUGGAUUAUGGGAAAGGGAGAUCCGUUCCAUAAAGACUGCCCUCCAGGUUGUCAUCGGAACCGAAGCUCUUCAGGAGGAAGUACUCCUCACUCUUCUGGUAGAAGUAGAGGGUAUACUCAACGCCAAACCAUUAGGUUAUGCAUCCGCCGAUGCAGCUGACCCGGACCCCGUGACUCCAAAUAUGUUAUUGAUGGGGCGGCGUGAUGCAUCCCUGCCACAGGUGUCGUAUGCACCAUCAACCAUCACCAAGAGACGAUGGCAACACAGUCAGAUGAUGGCGGAUCACUUCUGGUCACAGUUCAUCCGGGUCUACCUACCCAACCUUCAAGUCCGCCAUAAGUGGCAGCGAUCAGCAGAAAACCUGAAGGAUGGGACUGUGGUGAUGAUCACCGAUCCUCAGUCCCCGAGGGCUUCAUGGCCGGUGGGAAGGAUUACCAGGGUCAUCACCAGCUCUGAUGGAUGUGUGAGAUCGGCGGAGGUCAAAGUCAACGGCCGGACUUACCAUCGUCCAGUGGCACGUUUGGUGCCACUCCCGAACAUUCCUGAAGAGGAUGAAUGAUGGACAUUUCUUGCACUGGGGAAUUCAUUAGACUUACAUAAUAGCCUUGCUAUUAUGGGGGCGGCUGUUCUGAAUUCCCACUAGAGGGCAGUGUUGUUUUAGUUUUUUGUCAGGCCUUAUUAAGGACAGCUAAGCAAGUUGUGGGUCCUUUGUUAGACAUCUUGUGCAUGGGCAUUUAUUCCACCCGGGGCAGGCAACAGAGAACUGUGUAUGCGUGUUUGAGCCACAGACCAUACACCGUUCACAUACAUACAAACAUACAUCCAUCUGUGGGUGAACUAGAGAUAUCUGUUAGCCCUGUUGCCUGCUUCCGCCACCGUGUAAUAGUUCAAGUCCGGCAUAAUUAAAGCCAAGUGGACUCAUAAA
RNA transcript from Melanotaenia boesemani (Boeseman's rainbowfish), 7119 nucleotides. RefSeq lists it as uncharacterized. The transcript has 3 exons. The record is from RefSeq and is a predicted model, not a curated record. NCBI's taxonomy places the organism in Eukaryota, Metazoa, Chordata, Actinopteri, Atheriniformes, Melanotaeniidae.